RNAcentral lists this ribosomal RNA (465 nucleotides) under Vreelandella stevensii. RNAcentral's name for it is "partial 16S ribosomal RNA". It matches the Rfam family "Bacterial small subunit ribosomal RNA", at positions 338 to 795 of the family's 1533-position model. The record is from RNAcentral. Lineage: Bacteria; Pseudomonadati; Pseudomonadota; Gammaproteobacteria; Oceanospirillales; Halomonadaceae.
CCUACGGGGGGCUUCAGUGGGGAAUAUUGGACAAUGGGGGCAACCCUGAUCCAGCCAUGCCGCGUGUGUGAAGAAGGCCCUCGGGUUGUAAAGCACUUUCAGUGAGGAAGAACGCCUGGUGGUUAAUACCCAUCAGGAAAGACAUCACUCACAGAAGAAGCACCGGCUAACUCCGUGCCAGCAGCCGCGGUAAUACGGAGGGUGCGAGCGUUAAUCGGAAUUACUGGGCGUAAAGCGCGCGUAGGUGGCUUGAUAAGCCGGUUGUGAAAGCCCCGGGCUCAACCUGGGAACGGCAUCCGGAACUGUCAAGCUAGAGUGCAGGAGAGGAAGGUAGAAUUCCCGGUGUAGCGGUGAAAUGCGUAGAGAUCGGGAGGAAUACCAGUGGCGAAGGCGGCCUUCUGGACUGACACUGACACUGAGGUGCGAAAGCGUGGGUAGCAAACAGGAUUAGAUACCCGUGUAGUC